This 627-nucleotide ribosomal RNA is filed under the name Triticum aestivum (bread wheat). Its description in RNAcentral is "partial small subunit ribosomal RNA". Lineage: Eukaryota; Viridiplantae; Streptophyta; Magnoliopsida; Poales; Poaceae. The record is from RNAcentral.
AUGACCUUUGCCGCCGCCUACUCAUCGGAAACUCGUAAAUGGAGUGACAUAGUCUCCAUUGAGGAACCGAAUGCCAUCGAGACGACGGGGCACAGUGCUGUUGUGGGAAACAAGGUCUAUUUCCCAUGUGAGGAGACCGACAGUCUCGUCGAGUAUGACAAGGCUGGGCAAAAAUUGUCGGUGAUUGCGCUAGCUGAAGAAGAGGACGAUGACCUGCCGUGGCUUGACCUCAUGGGUGUGGAGGACGGGAUGCUGCUGUUAGCGACUAUGAUGAACUUUAGACUCUGCCUAUGGUCGAUGGAGGCUGGUCCCAGCAAAACUGCAGUAUGGGUGCGACGCAGAGUUAUCGAGCUCGAACCGUUGCUCCCUGCUACUGCCCUCAUUCGCAUGUGGGUGGUUGGUUUUGCGGAAGGUGUUGGUGUCAUCUUCCUGAAUACAAAGGCUGGGCUGUACACGGUUGAGCUCAGUUCAGGCCGAAGCAAGAAGGUGCACGGAGGGACAUCUUUCCGAGAAGUCAGGCCCUACAUGAGCUUCUACACUAGAGGCACAGAUAAACCGAAGCUAUCUUCACAUCUAUUCUCCUACACGAGGAUGCUGCAGAAGAAGGACGAAAGUGCCGCAGCUUAG